Molecule: transfer RNA, 55 nt
Filed under: Culex quinquefasciatus (southern house mosquito)
Lineage: Eukaryota; Metazoa; Arthropoda; Insecta; Diptera; Culicidae
Rfam family: tRNA
About the family: Transfer RNA (tRNA) molecules are approximately 80 nucleotides in length. Their secondary structure includes four short double-helical elements and three loops (D, anti-codon, and T loops). Further hydrogen bonds mediate the characteristic L-shaped molecular structure. tRNAs have two regions of fundamental functional importance: the anti-codon, which is responsible for specific mRNA codon recognition, and the 3' end, to which the tRNAs corresponding amino acid is attached (by aminoacyl-tRNA synthetases). tRNAs cope with the degeneracy of the genetic code in two manners: having more than one tRNA (with a specific anti-codon) for a particular amino acid; and 'wobble' base-pairing, i.e. permitting non-standard base-pairing at the 3rd anti-codon position.
Source: Rfam by way of RNAcentral
AGCCUAGUGGUAACGUUUCCGCCUCGUAAGCGGUAGAUCGGGGUUCAAAUCCCUG